Molecule: unclassified non-coding RNA, 377 nt
Filed under: Hevea brasiliensis (rubber tree)
Lineage: Eukaryota; Viridiplantae; Streptophyta; Magnoliopsida; Malpighiales; Euphorbiaceae
Source: RNAcentral
AAAAUUUUCAGUAAAAAUUUCCAGGAAAAGAGGAGUGUCCGACCAACAUUUUCUGCUGAGCAUAUUUAUGGAGGGACUUUGUUGGCAAUGUGUGCAAAUGACUUCAUUUGUUUUUAUGAUUGGGCUGAAUGCAGGUUGAUUAGGCGAAUUGAUGUUACUGUCAAAAAUCUUUAUUGGGCUGAUAGUGGUGAUUUGGUGGCAAUUGCUAGUGAUACGUCAUUCUACAUCCUCAAAUACAACCGCGACCUAGUUUCAUCUUAUUUAGAUAGUGGAAGACCUGUUGAUGAGCAAGGUGUUGAGGAUGCCUUUGAACUUCUCCAUGAAACUAAUGAACGUGUCAGGACUGGCUUAUGGGUUGGGGAUUGCUUUAUUUACAA